CUUUACAGUUAUUUACAUAUGUAAUUGUAUUGGUUAGUAUUGAAUUACGCUUUUGACUGCAAGUUCCAGAAUGCCUUGCGACAGGAACGAGAGUGAGAACGCGCCAGUUAUGUGCAGGUGCAAAGUGAUUAAGCUGACCUUUACGCUAGCAUCUUACCUGCAUUGCUCUGUAGAAUCUAAAGUUCUUAAAUGUAACGUGAACAAGUAAUAUUACUAAAAGAAGCGUACAUAUCAACCCCGACGUCCCGAGUCAUUACUUUGAAGACAGUUAUUCUAAAAGUAAUUGCUCUUUUGACCAAUCAGAUAUGCUCUGAAAAAGAGCUGAUACGAAAAUAUCUAACGUGAUAAUUUCCCAUCAUUAUUCAACAGGCUAAUGGGUCUCCAGUUGUCUAUAUAAAGAGUAUCCUUAUUAAGUUUGGGAAUCAAAGUAAUUACACCUUGUUUUAAGGAAGCCGGUAACUCCCAUUUUUCUAUUGAUUCUUGAAACAUAGCAAGAAUGAAAGGAAUCAAUUUAUCAUUGAAUGCUUUAUAAAACCCGCUUAUUAAACCAUAAUUUCCAGGGGACCUAUUGUCCUUAAGGCUUUUAAUACAGUAUUUUAUCUCAAUUUCAGAUAACUCAUCACAAAAAUCCCUGAAAUCAUUAUCUAUCUUCUUAGCAAUGUUUACUGGAAAAUGCCUGGGUGCUUUUCAAGACUGGCGGAGAGAGUGCGUGGACGUCGGCGGCCUACUGCGUCGAUGGGUUGUUCAAAUUCAUUUGUGGCUUGUUUUUCUUGUCUUUUUCUGUUUUGCAGGGUUCGUGAUCGUCGACAGGUGGACAGCGACAGCGACUUCGAAGAGGAAACAACUGUCCUGGAUGAGGUCCAGUUGGAUGUGCCAUUGGAUGAUGUGCCAGAUGUUCCACAGCUGCUAGUCCUCCUUGAUGUCCAGAAUGCUGCUAUCAUCCUUGAGGAUGUGCCAGAUGUGCAGACUAUCCUUGAGGAGGCCACUGUUAUUUGGCAGUUGAUUCUGAUUAGGUUCAGCCCCCAGUACUGUGGGCCUGUUGUGAUCAGGAACAAUGCCGGUCCGGUGGUUAAAGCUUGGAGAACUUUCCAGUUCAUCAGCCCCAUCAUCACCUACAUGCGUGGGGGAUCCCAGCAGGUGGUGGUGAGGAUGCACCACGUGAGUAGGGUGAGAGGCCUGGAGACUCAACUGGUGUGGGCCAUCUCCAAGGAGACAGCCAGGCUUAGUCCAGAGGGCAUCCCCUACUGUGCCACCAAAGUGCAGUCCAUCACUUGGAUCCAGCGUGUGGCUGGCAGGGUGACCCACUAUGCGUCUCACCUCCGCCACGAGACGUCUGUGGACGUGACGCUUGGCUGCUACCAGGUAAAUAAACAAUUUCCUAUGUAUAUAGACUAG
RNAcentral lists this long non-coding RNA (1395 nucleotides) under Oncorhynchus kisutch (coho salmon). Its description in RNAcentral is "lncRNA (ENSOKIG00005039358.1)". The record is from RNAcentral. Lineage: Eukaryota; Metazoa; Chordata; Actinopteri; Salmoniformes; Salmonidae.